Long non-coding RNA from Asparagus officinalis (garden asparagus), 1690 nucleotides. RefSeq lists it as uncharacterized. The record is from RefSeq and is a predicted model, not a curated record. The transcript has 7 exons. NCBI's taxonomy places the organism in Eukaryota, Viridiplantae, Streptophyta, Magnoliopsida, Asparagales, Asparagaceae.
AGAGCGGAGGCAGAGAGUGUCUGCGGCGACUAGGCUGAAAGAAUCGCACGCGUCUGCGACGCUGGAGGAGCUGAGGAGGCAGACGAGGGAGGCGGUGAAGGGGUUGGAGUCCGCCACUGCGGGGACAGCGCCGUCGAGGGGAGGAUUUGGGUUUGAGAAUGAAGGGAUGGAAGAUUUUGUUAAGCAAUUCGAGGAGCUUGUCGGUUCUCAGGUUAGCAGUCCACCUUGAGCACAUGUCCAAUACUACCACAUUCCUCGAAAACUACCAUGAGACAUAUGGCUCCCUAUGGAGAGGAUCAAAGAUGAUCGCUGACGAGAGAUUCUAUGAGCUAAUUCAACGAAAGAAACUCUAUCAUGUGUGCACUGUCCAGAUGUAUACCUCUUACUUUUAUUUGAGACAACUAGGAUGUUAUAAGGAGAUUUCAGAGUUUUGAAGCCUGGUCCUUGUGUUGCUGCCUAUGAGUGUUGCAUGAUUUUGAGGCAAUGAAUCCUGACGAUUCAUCACCAAAUAUAGUGUGCAUGUUGCCUCUGGUUGGCUGGUUGUGUAGCCUGAUUUUGUUGGUUGGCUAUUUUUGGUGUACUUGCUGUUGUGGGUUUGCUGGUUGUGUUCAGUUUGGGCACAGGUUGGUUUGAUGGUGCGAAGAGAGGUGUUCAUGUUGUUCAUGAAGGCAUUGUUGAAAGGGUGUUUGAAGUGGUUCGGUACAUAAGUGCCAAGUCUAUGCUCGUUGUUACAAUAUGCCUUGCCUUGUGCAUGCGUGUCAUGUCUGGGACAAGGGUCUUGAUGCUAGUUAGUACAGAUACUUGGCGCCAGAGUACUUCAUGCACGGAAUAGUUAAUGAGAAGACUGAUGUCUUUGCUUAUGGAGUUUUUCCUUUUGGGCUAGGACAAAAUCAAGUCUCCGAGAGCAUCGCCCUAAUCAUUUGGGUGUAUCUCCUGCACAACAUUAAAAGAGGUUGGAAUGUAUAAAAUAAACCAAAUCAGGCACAUUGAAGAAUUACAAAAGAGAGUGAAGAGAUGAAACCAUUGUUCUAGUUUUCUUUGUACAGAUGCUUUUUCAGGCUUCUGGCCAUAUAUUAAUUUCUACCUCUAGAAGCAUUGCUUAAUUGCUCACUGAUAGCACAUUAAUCUAUGCAAGAUUGCCGAGAGCAUUGAAAACUUCCUCAACAUUACAGUAUCUCCUACAACAUUUAUCCAGUGUACCAGUGGGCACACCCUGUGUUCUGCCUGCAAGAACAGAGUUAAAAACAGAUAGAAUUUGUGCAUAGAUUCCUGCUUAUCUUUUGACAUCGUAUAUGGAAUCUAGGGAAAAUUCAUCUGUGUAAAUCUUAGAAGACAUGUAGAGCUCCUGAGCUGACAUAUGUGUCACCUAUUGCUGUUGUAAGUGGACAGGAAACCUCCUUUGUUCUGAAAGGUCGGAAUUUGACUGCUCCUGGCACCAGAAUUCAUUGUACCUACAUGGGGGGCUAAACGUCAAAAGAAGUUCUUGGUUCAGUUUAUCAAGACGCCAUUUACAAAGGUUCCAGCACAGAGUGUUUCAGUUUUCAAUGUGAAUCUGGCGAUGUCUUUGGUCGCUGUUUCAUUGAGGUGCUUGUUGUUCACCAAACCAGUUAAUUUUGAAACUUUGUAUGCAGAUAAAAUCUUGUAUAAAGGAUUAUAACAGUUCAUAAUAUUAUUAGUUUUCAUAGCUCUA